This 496-nucleotide ribosomal RNA is filed under the name uncultured bacterium. Its description in RNAcentral is "bacterial SSU rRNA". It matches the Rfam family "Bacterial small subunit ribosomal RNA", at positions 29 to 518 of the family's 1533-position model. The record is from RNAcentral.
AUGAACGCUAGCGACAGGCCUAACACAUGCAAGGUCGAGGGGCAGCACAAGGAGCAAGUCUGAGGUGGCGACCGGCGCACGGGUGAGUAACACGUAUGCAACCUGCCUGUAAGCGGGGAAUAACCCGUUGAAAGACGGACUAAUACCGCAUAAUACUAAAUUACUGCAUGGUAAUUUAUUUAAACAUUUAUGGCUUACAGAUGGGCAUGCGCAUGAUUAGCUAGUUGGAGAGGUAACGGCUCCCCAAGGCAACGAUCAUUAGGGGUUCUGAGAGGAAGGUCCCCCACACUGGUACUGAGACACGGACCAGACUCCUACGGGAGGCAGCAGUGAGGAAUAUUGGUCAAUGGACGAGAGUCUGAACCAGCCAAGUCGCGUGCAGGAAGAAUGUCCUAUGGAUUGUAAACUGCUUUUGCAGGGGAAUAAAGUGCAUCACGUGUGAUGUUUUGUAUGUACUCUGCGAAUAAGGAUCGGCUAACUCCGUGCCAGCAGCAGC